Molecule: ribosomal RNA, 641 nt
Filed under: uncultured Actinomycetes bacterium
Lineage: Bacteria; Bacillati; Actinomycetota; Actinomycetes
Description: bacterial SSU rRNA
Rfam family: Bacterial small subunit ribosomal RNA
Source: RNAcentral
CGCGGCCUAUCAGCUUGUUGGUGAGGUAAAGGCUCACCAAGGCGACGACGGGUAGCCGGCCUGAGAGGGCGACCGGCCACACUGGGACUGAGACACGGCCCAGACUCCUACGGGAGGCAGCAGUAGGGAAUAUUGGGCAAUGGGCGAAAGCCUGACCCAGCGACGCCGCGUGAGGGAUGAAGGUCUUCGGAUUGUAAACCUCUUUCAGUAGGGAAGAAGCGAAAGUGACGGUACCUAAAGAAGAAGCACCGGCUAACUAUGUGCCAGCAGCCGCGGUAAUACAUAGGGUGCAAGCGUUGUCCGGAAUUAUUGGGCGUAAAGAGCUCGUAGGUCGUUUGUCGCGUCGAUUGUGAAAAUCUGAGGCUCAACCUCAGACCUGCAGUCGAUACGGGCAAACUAGAGUGUGGUAGGGGAGACUGGAAUUCCUGGUGUAGCGGUGGAAUGCGCAGAUAUCAGGAGGAACACCAAUGGCGAAGGCAGGUCUCUGGGCCAUAACUGACACUGAGGAGCGAAAGUGCGGGGAGCGAACAGGAUUAGAUACCCUGGUAGUCCGCACCGUAAACGGUGGGCACUAGUUGUGGGAACCUUCCACGGUUUCCGCGACGCAGCAAACGCAUUAAGUGCCCCGCCUGGGGAGUACG